UUUGUCCUACGGGAGGCAGCAGUGGGGGAUAUUGCACAAUGGGCGCAAGCCUGAUGCAGCGACGCCGCGUGAGCGAAGAAGUAUUUCGGUAUGUAAAGCUCUAUCAGCAGGGAAGAAAAUGACGGUACCUGACUAAGAAGCUCCGGCUAAAUACGUGCCAGCAGCCGCGGUAAUACGUAUGGAGCAAGCGUUAUCCGGAUUUACUGGGUGUAAAGGGAGCGUAGGCGGCUCUGUAAGUCUGAUGUGAAAAUUUGGGGCUCAACCCCAAACGUGCAUUGGAAACUGCAGGGCUUGAGUGCCGGAGG
This 305-nucleotide ribosomal RNA is filed under the name uncultured bacterium. RNAcentral's name for it is "bacterial SSU rRNA". It matches the Rfam family "Bacterial small subunit ribosomal RNA", at positions 333 to 655 of the family's 1533-position model. The record is from RNAcentral.